This 497-nucleotide ribosomal RNA is filed under the name uncultured bacterium. RNAcentral's name for it is "partial 16S ribosomal RNA". It matches the Rfam family "Bacterial small subunit ribosomal RNA", at positions 28 to 507 of the family's 1533-position model. The record is from RNAcentral.
GAUGAACGCUGGCGGCGUGCCUAAUACAUGCAAGUCGAGCGAACAGACGAGGAGCUUUCUCCUCUGACUUUAGCGGCGGACGGGUGAGUAACACGUGGAUAACCUACCUAUAAGACUGGGAUAACUUCGGGAAACCGGAGCUAAUACCGGAUAAUAUAUUGAACCGCAUGGUUCAAUAGUUAAAUACGGUUUUUCUUUCACUUAUAGAUUGAUCCGCGCCGCAUUAGCUAGUUGGUAAGGUAACUGCUUAACAAGGCAACGAUUCGUAGCCGACCUGAGAGGGUGAUCGGCCACACUGGAACUGAGACACGGUCCAGACUCCUACGGGAGGCAGCAGUAGGGAAUCUUCCGCAAUGGGCGAAAGCCUGACGGAGCAAAGCCGCGUGAGUGAUGAAGGUCUUAGGAUCGUAAAACUCUGUUAUUCGGGAAGAACAAAUGUGUAAGUACCUAUGCACGUCUUGACGGUACCUAAUCAGAAAGCCACGGCUAACUACGUG